RNAcentral lists this ribosomal RNA (460 nucleotides) under uncultured bacterium. Its description in RNAcentral is "partial 16S ribosomal RNA". It matches the Rfam family "Bacterial small subunit ribosomal RNA", at positions 338 to 795 of the family's 1533-position model. The record is from RNAcentral.
CCUACGGGUGGCAGCAGUGAGGAAUAUUGGUCAAUGGGCGCGAGCCUGAACCAGCCAAGUAGCGUGAAGGAUGACGGCCCUACGGUUUGUAAACUUCUUUUAUAAAGGAAUAAAGUGUGGCACGUGUGCCUUUUUGCAUGUACUUUAUGAAUAAGAAUCGGCUAACUCCGUGCCAGCAGCCGCGGUAAUACGGAGGAUCCGAGCGUUAUCCGGAUUUAUUGGGUUUAAAGGGAGCGUAGAUGGGUUGUUAAGUCAGUUGUGAAAGUUUGCGGCUCAACCGUAAAAUUGCAAUUGAUACUGGCAGUCUUGAGUACAGUUGAGGUAGGCGGAAUGCGUGGUGUAGCGGUGAAAUGCAUAGAUAUCACGAAGAACUCCGAUUGCGAAGGCAGCUUACUAAACUGCGACUGACAUUGAUGCUCGAAAGUGUGGGUAUCAAACAGGAUUAGAUACCCGGGUAGUC